GAAAAAAGAAGAAAUAAAUUUAAUAUAAUACAUAAAAUGUCAGUUAUUUUCUGACAGGGGAAUUAAGUUUUCCUUGGGGGAAGAAGAGGAGAUGAUGAUCACGGGGUGUAUUUCAUUGUUCGGAAAAACCCCUAGUGGGAAAUGGGAAAAUAUUGAAUAAGAUGUCAGCUGUGAACCUUUGGGAGAUGAAGAAAUGGAUAAUAAUUAUAUUAAAUUUUGCUGACCAAGAUCGAAAGAGUGGGUUGAUUCGGUUUUAAAGUAUUCCGUCAUAGGAAGCUGAAAGACCUCAUGAACAGCAGGACAGAAAGGAUUGUUAAAUAUUUAAAUAUGUGAAAUUUAUGAAAAUAUAUAUGGAUAUAGACUUUUGUAAUAAAGUGUGUAUUAUUUAA
Molecule: long non-coding RNA, 389 nt
Organism: Gordionus sp. m RMFG-2023
Lineage: Eukaryota; Metazoa; Nematomorpha; Gordioida; Chordodea; Parachordodidae
Exons: 3
Source: RefSeq, a predicted model, not a curated record